RNAcentral lists this ribosomal RNA (854 nucleotides) under uncultured bacterium. RNAcentral's name for it is "bacterial SSU rRNA". It matches the Rfam family "Bacterial small subunit ribosomal RNA", at positions 30 to 896 of the family's 1533-position model. The record is from RNAcentral.
AGAACGAAGCCAGCUUACACAUGCAGUCGAGGGGUAACAGAGUAGCUUGCUUUGCUGACGACCGGCGCACGGGUGCGUAACGCGUAUACAAUCUGCCUUGUACUGAGGGAUAGCCUUUGGAAACGAAGAUUAAUACCUCAUAGUAUUGCGACAUCGCAUGGUGAUGCAAUUAAAGGUUACGGUACAAGAUGGGUAUGCGUCCUAUUAGCUAGAUGGAGUGGUAACGGCACCCCAUGGCGACGAUAGGUAGGGGCCCUGAGAGGGGGAUCCCCCACACUGGUACUGAGACACGGACCAGACUCCUACGGGAGGCAGCAGUGAGGAAUAUUGGACAAUGGAGGCAACUCUGAUCCAGCCAUGCCGCGUGCAGGAAGACUGCCCUAUGGGUUGUAAACUGCUUUUAUACAGGAAGAAACAGAACUACGUGUAGUUCCUUGACGGUACUGUAAGAAUAAGGAUCGGCUAACUCCGUGCCAGCAGCCGCGGUAAUACGGAGGAUCCAAGCGUUAUCCGGAAUCAUUGGGUUUAAAGGGUCCGUAGGUGGAUAAUUAAGUCAGAGGUGAAAUCCUGCAGCUCAACUGUAGAAUUGCCUUUGAUACUGGUUAUCUUGAGUUAUUAUGAAGUAGUUAGAAUAUGUAGUGUAGCGGUGAAAUGCAUAGAUAUUACAUAGAAUACCAAUUGCGAAGGCAGAUUACUAAUAAUAUACUGACACUGAUGGACGAAAGCGUGGGGAGCGAACAGGAUUAGAUACCCUGGUAGUCCACGCCGUAACGAUGGUCACUAGCUGUUCGGAUUUCGGUCUGAGUGCUAAGCGAAAGUGAUAGUGACCCACCUGGGAGUACGUCGCAAGAUGA